This 447-nucleotide long non-coding RNA is filed under the name Gallus gallus (chicken). Lineage: Eukaryota; Metazoa; Chordata; Aves; Galliformes; Phasianidae. The record is from RNAcentral.
UAUGGGUUAGUAUUGGGUGGAGUUUGUGGUUGAUCUUGGGUGGGGUUUGGGGUGGUCUUGGGUAUGAGGUGGAGCUAGGGUGGUCUUAAGUUUGAUUUGUUCUUGGGGUGCAGUAUGGGUGGUCUUGGGUGGAAUUUCAUUAUAGGACAGCCAAAGGCCAUGGGUUGGUGGCCUGGGGACAGAAGUAGCUUUCAGAAUCAGCGUUGGGACUAGGGUUGUGGUCUGGGGUGGUGACAUGAGGACAUUUCCCCACAGGCAAUUUGAGGUGCCUGAGGAUCCAAAGGCUCUGGGACAUCUCUUCAGUGUCCCUGACUUUGUGGGGUUGCCUGCAAGGCCCUGGCCUCCUGUGUGCAUGGAGCUGUUGCUGCUGUCACAUUUCCACAAGAUCUGAGUUUGAACAAAGCCUGUUGCCUUGAUCACCGCUAAACCCAUUAAAAUUGUUGCUCA